AGCGGCGGAUGGGUGAGUAACACGUGGGGAACCUGCCCCUAAGUCUGGGAUACCAUUUGGAAACAGGUGCUAAUACCGGAUAAUAAAGCAGAUCGCAUGAUCAGCUUUUGAAAGGCGGCGUAAGCUGUCGCUAAGGGGUGGCCCCGCGGUGCAUUAGCUAGUUGGUAAGGUAACGGCAUACCAAGGCGACGAUGCAUAGCCGAGUUGAGAGACUGAUCGGCCACAUUGGGACUGAGACACGGCCCAAACUCCUACGGGAGGCAGCAGUAGGGAAUCUUCCACAAUGGACGCAAGUCUGAUGGAGCAACGCCGCGUGAGUGAAGAAGGUUUUCGGAUCGUAAGCUCUGUUGUUGGUGAAGAAGGAUAGAGGUAGUAACUGGCCUUUAUUUGACGGUAAUCAACCAGAAAGUCACGGCUAACUACGUGCCAGCAGCCGCGGUAAUACGUAGGUGGCAAGCGUUGUCCGGAUUUAUUGGGCGUAAAGCGAGCGCAGGCGGAAAAAUAAGUCUAAUGUGAAAGCCCUCGGCUUAACCGAGGAACUGCAUCGGAAACUGUUUUUCUUGAGUGCAGAAGAGGAGAGUGGAACUCCAUGUGUAGCGGUGGAAUGCGUAGAUAUAUGGAAGAACACCAGUGGCGAAGGCGGCUCUCUGGUCUGCAACUGACGCUGAGGCUCGAAAGCAUGGGUAGCGAACAGGAUUAGAUACCCUGGUAGUCCAUGCCGUAAACGAUGAGUGCUAAGUGU
This 742-nucleotide ribosomal RNA is filed under the name uncultured bacterium. RNAcentral's name for it is "bacterial SSU rRNA". It matches the Rfam family "Bacterial small subunit ribosomal RNA", at positions 94 to 823 of the family's 1533-position model. The record is from RNAcentral.